GGGCCCCAGGGUAACAGCUUGACCUCUGGAGGCACUGGAGACAAAGAUCAGCCACGUGGCAGUCAACCAUGUCUAUCUGACCAAGUUCCAAUGAAAACUCUGGACACCAAGGCUUGGGAGAUAUUUCUCAAAAGACUCCUCUGCGGGAGAGGAGAAUAGCUGUACUCUAAGCAGUUCGCAGGGAGCAUCUUUCAGCAGCUGAAACAGCUUUGCGGCCUUGCUGUAAUGAAGAUCUGCCAGCACCCGGUGUUGUUUCCUAAGGUGUUCAUCACCAACCUAGAACCAAACCAAAACAAGCAACAAAUCCUUCACGAGAAAGAAAGAAAACAACUGUGUAAGCAGACAUCAGUGUAAACCUUAGCACUGUCUCUUGAUGAGAUAAGAGGAGGAUGGCAGUGACAGGAGUGUGGUGGCGAGCCAGUCACCUGCAGUCAACCACGGCUCAUUGCUCUCACCAUGCCUGUUACAUGAAGGUAUGUAUGUAUAGGAAAAAGCACUGAAAAACUCUCCAGUUUCAGGCAUCCACUGGGGAUCUUGGAACGCAUCCUCCAAGGAUAAGUGGG
Molecule: long non-coding RNA, 563 nt
Filed under: Homo sapiens (human)
Lineage: Eukaryota; Metazoa; Chordata; Mammalia; Primates; Hominidae
Description: EDRF1 antisense RNA 1
Source: RNAcentral